Long non-coding RNA from Balaenoptera musculus (blue whale), 1113 nucleotides. RefSeq lists it as uncharacterized. The transcript is spliced from 4 exons. Lineage: Eukaryota; Metazoa; Chordata; Mammalia; Artiodactyla; Balaenopteridae. The record is from RefSeq and is a predicted model, not a curated record.
GGCGCCGCUGCCACCGCCGCCCGCCGGGCUCUUGGCGCUGCCGUUGGCCGAUCGGUUCUUCCCCAGUAACUCGGGCCCUUUCUCCAUCAUGCCGGGCAUGGUAGAAGAGGGGAGGGGGAAAGGGGAAGAAACCAGUAAUGAGAAAGGAGCUGAAGAAACAAGAGCAGAGAGAGAUUAACUGAUGGAGCAAGACUUUGAAGAAUGAAGGAGCAACAAGGACAAGGUGGCUGGAUUGGUCUUGACCAAGAGGCAGUACACUUCAUCCUCUGAGACUAGAGAAAGCUAAAAAAGAGAUACUUGGAGGCAUGCUCCUUGAAAGAAUAUAGGACCUACCUCAAGUCCCUUACCUCCCAUUCCAUCUUUAACCUGAGGACACAGGAGACCUUCAUGGGAAAGAGGGGAGGGUUACAAGGAAAAGAACAAAUGGUAAUUCUGGAAGGUGAAGGAUAAUGGGAAGACAAGAAUUCACCCUGUAUGUGUUCAAAUGAAAGUUCUGAGAACUUUGGUAAUGAACAAAGAAGAAAGACUUUUGAAUAACUUUCCAGAUGUGUUCCAGGCAAUUGUGAUAAAGAAAGGGGAUUUUGUUGAAGUUUUAAGAACUUCUGAACAAAUAGGAUAUGAAAAUGCCAGUAUUGAAAUUAAUGCAAGAAACUCUCUGCAUGGAAUCCCACUAUGAAACUAAAGAAGCCAAAAGGGAACUGUAAUAUCUCUUUUGAAAGAAUUAGAAAAACAGCUUGCUGUCAACAAAAAGAUCACAACCCAUGGAAAAGAUAGCUAUUAAAAAUAUGUCAUUAAAGUCAACAAGAGAGAGACAGAGAGAGACAGAGACAAAGAUCAUUUGGAGAUGGAGUAAAAAGAAAAUAUCUGGAGUUAGCUAAUAACCAAUAUGUCCUCUUCCAACUAGUGUAGAAUUAGAAAGAGCUUUCUCAGCAACUGGAAAAAUGUGCACAAAAAUAAGUUCACUAUCUAAUAAAAACCAAUUGGCACUUAAAGAAACAUCUUUCUUAAAAAAAAAAGAUAUCAUAUUUCAUCUUCUAUUUUUCAUGAUUAAUUACAUUUUCUUUAUUUCAUGUAGUGUGUAUAUUCGUUUGUAACACUUCAUUUGUUUUACCU